Molecule: ribosomal RNA, 809 nt
Filed under: uncultured bacterium
Lineage: Bacteria
Description: bacterial SSU rRNA
Rfam family: Bacterial small subunit ribosomal RNA
Source: RNAcentral
AGAGUUUGAUUUUGGCUCAGAAUGAACGCUGGCGGCGUGCCUAACACAUGCAAGUCGAACGAGAAAGUCCCUUCGGGGAUGAGUAUAGUGGCGCACGGGUGAGCAACGCGUGGGUAAUCUACCUUUGGAUUUGGGAUAACUUCGCGAAAGCGUAGCUAAUACCGGAUAGUCUGGCUUUAAUUAAUAAGUUGGUAAAGGGUGCCUCUAUUUAUACGCAUUCGUCCAAAGAUGAGCCCGCGUCUCAUUAGCUAGUUGGUGGGGUAAAGGCCUACCAAGGCAACGAUGAGUAACUGGUCUGAGAGGAUGAUCAGUCACACUGGAACUGAAACACGGUCCAGACUCCUACGGGAGGCAGCAGUGGGGAAUAUUGCGCAAUGGGCGAAAGCCUGACGCAGCAACGCCGUGUGAGGGAUGAAGGUUCUCGGAUCGUAAACCUCUGUCAGAAGGGAAGAACGGUUAUAGGUCUAACAGGCCUGUAAAUUGACGGUACCUUCAAAGGAAGCACCGGCUAACUCCGUGCCAGCAGCCGCGGUAAUACGGAGGGUGCAAGCGUUAUUCGGAAUUACUGGGCGUAAAGCGCGCGUAGGCGGCUUUGUAAGUCAGGGGUGAAAUCCCACGGCUCAACCGUGGAACUGCCUUUGAAACUGCAUGGCUUGAAUCCUGGAGAGGGUGGCGGAAUUCCUGGUGUAGGAGUGAAAUCCGUAGAUAUCAGGAGGAACACCGGUGGCGAAGGCGGCCACCUGGACAGGUAUUGACGCUGAGGUGCGAAAGUGUGGGGAGCAAACAGGAUUAGAUACCCUGGUAGUCCA